GGAGAGAUGGCAGAGCGGUUGAAUGCGGCGGUCUUGAAAACCGUUAAGGGGUAAUCCCCCUUCCAGGGUUCGAAUCCCUGUCUCUCCGCCA
RNAcentral lists this transfer RNA (91 nucleotides) under marine bacterium B5-7. Its description in RNAcentral is "tRNA-Ser". It matches the Rfam family "tRNA". Rfam says of the family: Transfer RNA (tRNA) molecules are approximately 80 nucleotides in length. Their secondary structure includes four short double-helical elements and three loops (D, anti-codon, and T loops). Lineage: Bacteria; Pseudomonadati; Pseudomonadota; Gammaproteobacteria. The record is from RNAcentral.